RNAcentral lists this non-coding RNA (24 nucleotides) under Gossypium hirsutum (cotton). Lineage: Eukaryota; Viridiplantae; Streptophyta; Magnoliopsida; Malvales; Malvaceae. The record is from RNAcentral.
UUGUGUAUUUUGGUAUCUAAGCUU